GAUGAACGCUGGCGGCGUGCCUAAUACAUGCAAGUCGAGCGAACAGACGAGGAGCUUGCUCCUCUGACGUUAGCGGCGGACGGGUGAGUAACACGUGGAUAACCUACCUAUAAGACUGGGAUAACUUCGGGAAACCGGAGCUAAUACCGGAUAAUAUAUUGAACCGCAUGGUUCAAUAGUGAAAGACGGUUUUGCUGUCACUUAUAGAUGGAUCCGCGCCGCAUUAGCUAGUUGGUAAGGUAACGGCUUACCAAGGCAACGAUGCGUAGCCGACCUGAGAGGGUGAUCGGCCACACUGGAACUGAGACACGGUCCAGACUCCUACGGGAGGCAGCAGUAGGGAAUCUUCCGCAAUGGGCGAAAGCCUGACGGAGCAACGCCGCGUGAGUGAUGAAGGUCUUCGGAUCGUAAAACUCUGUUAUUAGGGAGGAACAAAUGUGUAAUUAACUAUGCACGUCUUGACGGUACCUAAUCAGAAAGCCACGGCUAACUACGUG
This 497-nucleotide ribosomal RNA is filed under the name uncultured bacterium. RNAcentral describes it as "partial 16S ribosomal RNA". It matches the Rfam family "Bacterial small subunit ribosomal RNA", at positions 28 to 507 of the family's 1533-position model. The record is from RNAcentral.